Molecule: ribosomal RNA, 424 nt
Filed under: uncultured bacterium
Lineage: Bacteria
Description: partial 16S ribosomal RNA
Rfam family: Bacterial small subunit ribosomal RNA
Source: RNAcentral
GUGGGGAAUCUUGCGCAAUGGGCGAAAGCCUGACGCAGCCAUGCCGCGUGUAUGAUGAAGGUCUUAGGAUUGUAAAAUUCUUUCACCGGGGACGAUAAUGACGGUACCCGGAGAAGAAGCCCCGGCUAACUUCGUGCCAGCAGCCGCGGUAAUACGAAGGGGGCUAGCGUUGCUCGGAAUUACUGGGCGUAAAGGGCGCGUAGGCGGACAGUUUAGUCAGAGGUGAAAGCCCAGGGCUCAACCUUGGAAUUGCCUUUGAUACUGGCUGUCUUGAGUACGGGAGAGGUGAGUGGAACUCCGAGUGUAGAGGUGAAAUUCGUAGAUAUUCGGAAGAACACCAGUGGCGAAGGCGACUCACUGGCCCGUUACUGACGCUGAGGCGCGAAAGCGUGGGAGCAAACAGGAUUAGAAACCCCGGUAGUCC